RNAcentral lists this long non-coding RNA (2236 nucleotides) under Pongo abelii (Sumatran orangutan). RNAcentral describes it as "lincRNA". The record is from RNAcentral. Lineage: Eukaryota; Metazoa; Chordata; Mammalia; Primates; Hominidae.
GAAUGACUAGUUAUGAUGGAAACAGCCACCAUGUUGUGAGGACACUCAAUUAGCCUUGUGGAGAGACCCACAUGGGCGAGAAACCAAGGGCUGCCGCCAACAGCCCACAUCCACUUGCCAGCUCUGAGAGCAAAUAGAUCCUGCAGGCCUAGUGAAGCCUCAUUUGACUGACGCCUCAGUCAACAUCUUGACUGCAAGCCCAUGCAAAACACUGAGCCAGAAACCACCCACCCGAGAAGCUGAGAAUUCCUGACUGGCAGAAAAUGCUGAGCAGAAAACCAGGAAGUGGAUGGGCUGUAUCUCCGCAGCCACGCCUGCCCGUUUGCGCUUAUUGAACGGAGGUCCUCAGGAACAUGAGCCCCUCUUCUUGGGCCUGUGAUUCCUCACCUGGAAGGGAGAAGAGUGGACUUCCUGCCUAGAGAACACCUUGGUAAACACUUUAUGGUUCCUGUCAUGAGAAGGUGUGCAGCUUAGGGAAAAAGCCUGUGAGCUCUGGAAUCAGAUGGAACUGGAUAUAAAUUUCAGUUUAGUGCUUGUUGGAUUAAAUGUGAUGCUACUUCUCCCAGCCGAAAGAAGAAAACUGGUAAGAGGAAGGGAAAUGCAGCCUCAGUGAGGAGGCCUCCAUUCUGGAAGGGCUUCCCAGGCCCAGAGAAGGGAGAAAGUAAUUUGGAACCACCCAAGUAUUGGUGAUGCCAGGCCUCACCCUACCCUGGGGAUAUUUGAAUCUCAAAAAAGGAGCAUGGGGAUCUGACAAAGCACUUGCAUAUAUAAAGAACUCCUCCAAAUCAACAAGGCAAAAACCUCAUUAGAUACAUAGGCAAAAACCUUAGAAGAGCCACAUCACAAAGGAGGACCUCCAAAUGGCCAAGAAGCAUAUGAAAAGAUGUUCAGUCUCAUUAGCUACCAGGGAAUUCAAAUUAGAACUACACCAGGAUGGCUGAAAGUGCAAAGACUGACAAUAUCAAGGGCUGGUGAGGAUGCAGAACAACUGGAACUAUCCUACGCGCUGGGGAAGAGGUAAAUUAAUACCGCCCCUUUGGAAGAACAGUUCAGAAGCAUCGCUAAAGCUGAACAUAUUCAUGCCUACUCCGGAAAUGCUGAGCCCAGUGGCUCCCUUUGAAGAACUGCCUUGGGGUUCAUGUUGCAGCAUCAAACAGGGAUGGAAGAUGCAUCUUGCUUUAGCAGCAGGAGCCUGGAAAGCAGCUGAAGCCCUGGAGGGUGCCUGGCACACAGAAUCUUGUGCUGAGCCCGGAGCCCAAUGGGAGCGGGCUGGCGGGGUGGGUUCACAGCUGGACUGGGAGCAGCAGACAUACAGGCCGUAGGCACAGACAUAUAAAGACAGUCAUGCAGAUUGCAGGAUGCCUGAGAGCACAGACUCUCACAUGCACAAAUAUGUGCAUGAUCACCAGUGUGUAUCCAGACAGCCCCACAUGCGUGCACGUGCAUGCACACAUGAGAUAUGUACAUAGAUGGACACAUGUCUAUGCCCACAAACACUGCAGAGACACACGCUAAAGUGUCUGGCAAGGAGCACUAUUUUGUCCUCAAUUUUCUGCCAGCGAGAGUCUACUGACUCCAUCUCUGAAAUGUCUCUACUUAUUGUCCCUCUUCUUCACCUGUGCCACAUCCCUAAUCCCUGAAACUCCCACCGAGACCCCUGGGAAAUAGCAAAGUCAGGACAGGAUUCCUGCUCCGCCUCUACCCGACCCUUAAGCCCAUCCUACAUGCAAGAGCAGGAGUUAUCUGGGUAUCAGGCAAAUCUGACCACAUCACCUCCCCACUGCUUAAAACCCUUUCCUACAGGAUGAAGUUUAAAUCACUUGACAUCCCAUAUAAGGCGCUUGACUGUCUGGCAUCAGCCGUAGUCUGGCCUCAGGCCCUGGCAUGGAGUCCCCUGGACUCAGUGCUCCGGCUGAGGGCCUCCAGGAUGAAGAUGCCCUGUGCAAAGCCUCACACUUCUGCUGUUGCUGGGCUCACUGUGUGAAAUUCCCUCCUCCCUCCUUCCACCUUCCUCCCUCCUUCCACCUUCCCUAUGCUGAACUGCCACUCCUCCAUCCUCCGUGGCCAGCGAAGCCAACACCUCCCCACUUCCUCCUGACAACCCAGGCACAGCCACUGACCUGUCCCAUGGCUGUCACAGCCCUUUCUUGGGCUCUCAAUGGUAUCGUUGUCACCUGUGUGCUCAUGAGCCUCCGCCACUCAACUCCAAGCACAUCAAAUAGAGAGCUCAAAACAU